RNAcentral lists this microRNA (20 nucleotides) under Ectocarpus siliculosus. RNAcentral's name for it is "esi-miR8618b". The record is from miRBase by way of RNAcentral. Lineage: Eukaryota; Phaeophyceae; Ectocarpales; Ectocarpaceae.
UCGUACAGUGGCUCAGCCUC